Long non-coding RNA from Helianthus annuus (common sunflower), 416 nucleotides. RefSeq lists it as uncharacterized. The transcript has 2 exons. The record is from RefSeq and is a predicted model, not a curated record. NCBI's taxonomy places the organism in Eukaryota, Viridiplantae, Streptophyta, Magnoliopsida, Asterales, Asteraceae.
AUACGAUUGUGGAAGAUGAGAGUGCCGAGAGCUUGGAAGAAUCAUCAUCACUUUGUUUUAAGGGUGCAUUGACCCCAAAAAAUGGUGUUUUUGAGAGGUCAAUAACAGAGGGGUUAAAGAAAAGAGGACGAAAAGGAAACGAAGUCCCCUGCUGCUGCAUCCAUCUCGAUUGAGAGAGGGAGAGAGAGAAAAGAAGUAGAAGAAGAAGACAGUGGAAGGAGACCCUCUCAGGCGGUGGUGGUGGAUGGUGGUGGGAGGUAGUGGUAGCGGCGGCAGGUGGGUGGUGGUGGUCGGUGGUCAGGUGGUUGUGAUGGUGGGUUGUUAGAGUGAGAAAGAGUGUAGAGAUAGAGAGAAUGUAUGUAUUUGUUUAAUAUAUAAACAAAAUUCUUUUAUUUAUUAUUUUUUAUAAUUUUUUA